Molecule: non-coding RNA, 517 nt
Organism: Arvicanthis niloticus (Nile rat)
Lineage: Eukaryota; Metazoa; Chordata; Mammalia; Rodentia; Muridae
Source: the annotation of a RefSeq genome assembly
AUGAGACUACUGGAGUUUCUCCUGUGCUUGGCAGCAGCUCUGCAAUGCAUUUUGUCUCAGAUUCAGCUUAAGGAGUCAGGACCUGCUGUCACCGAACCAUCACAGCCACUGUCCCUCACCUGCACAGUGUCUGGAUUCUCCAUCUCAAGUAGUGAUUAUUGCUGGGACUGGAUCCGUCAGCCCCCAGGAAAGGGGUUAGAGUGGAUGGGGUGCAUACGUUAUGAUGGUUACACUUUCUACAGUCCGUCCUUCAAAAGCCGCAGCACCCUCUCCAGAGACACAGCACUGAACAAAUUCUCUAUCCAGUUGAGCUCUGUGACUGCUGAGGACACAGCCGUGUAUUACUGUUCCAGGGAAAACCACAAUUUUCCAAGUGCCAAAAGAUGGGAUACACUGCUGGGAAAUGAAGUCAUUGCAGAGUCCAGGAACAAAACCCAUGCUUUUUCAGCUUCAUCUCCACCUCCAGAAACUCGGAUAAUGUCAAGUUCUCCCGAGUUUUACAUCUUUAAUGGUACAG